RNAcentral lists this transfer RNA (70 nucleotides) under Candidatus Chisholmbacteria bacterium RIFCSPHIGHO2_01_FULL_52_32. RNAcentral's name for it is "tRNA-OTHER". The record is from RNAcentral. Lineage: Bacteria; Candidatus Chisholmiibacteriota. RNAcentral also lists the same sequence under 1 other name.
GGGUCCGUAGCUCAGUUGGUUAGAGCGGUCCGAUCCAUCGGACAGGUCGGUGGUUCGAGGCAGGGAUUCC